This 321-nucleotide ribosomal RNA is filed under the name uncultured Streptococcus sp. Its description in RNAcentral is "bacterial SSU rRNA". It matches the Rfam family "Bacterial small subunit ribosomal RNA", at positions 1060 to 1382 of the family's 1533-position model. Lineage: Bacteria; Bacillati; Bacillota; Bacilli; Lactobacillales; Streptococcaceae. The record is from RNAcentral.
UCGUGUCGUGAGAUGUUGGGUUAAGUCCCGCAACGAGCGCAGCCCCUAUUGUUAGUUGCCAUCAUUCAGUUGGGCACUCUAGCGAGACUGCCGGUAAUAAACCGGAGGAAGGUGGGGAUGACGUCAAAUCAUCAUGCCCCUUAUGACCUGGGCUACACACGUGCUACAAUGGUUGGUACAACGAGUUGCGAGUCGGUGACGGCGAGCUAAUCUCUUAAAGCCAAUCUCAGUUCGGAUUGUAGGCUGCAACUCGCCUACAUGAAGUCGGAAUCGCUAGUAAUCGCGGAUCAGCACGCCGCGGUGAAUACGUUCCCGGGCCUU